CUCCCCUCUCCAGGCCAGCCCUGCGCAUGUGCCAAGGCCCGAGGUGGCUCCAGGGAAGUCCAGGCUGGGCACCGAGAAGAACAUUCUGGAGAUGCCGGCGGCCGAAAUGAUCAAGACAAAACAACCGGAUCGGAUUCAUCGAAGGAGUGACACAAUGGAAGACCGUGCCCGGACGUGCAUGACCCCCCAAGGGAUCCUACAGAGAAAUAUCUGCAAAGUGGAAAACAUUUCUUCCCGCCCUCUGGACAGAAGCUCCCUGUGACCACCGAAGGAGAAACGUGGUUCCCUUCGCUCCCUCUUCUCCACCCAACCCCCACCCUCCCACCCCCGGACCCCCAAGAUGGCUGUGAGGUCGCCCAAGGCUGAGCACUGACCCCUCCCUGCCCAACGCAAUAAAUCCAUUGAGGUGCACGGCCUUCGCGUGGCAUCUUCUC
Thamnophis elegans (Western terrestrial garter snake) is the source of this 434-nucleotide long non-coding RNA. RefSeq lists it as uncharacterized. NCBI's taxonomy places the organism in Eukaryota, Metazoa, Chordata, Lepidosauria, Squamata, Natricidae. The transcript is spliced from 4 exons. The record is from RefSeq and is a predicted model, not a curated record.